GCCAGGCAUAGUGGCCCACACCUGUAAUCCCAGUGGCUUGGGAGGCUGAGGCAGGAGGAUUAUGAGUUCAAAGACACACUCAGCAAAAGCAAGGCACUCAGUGACAUCCUGUCUCUC
This 117-nucleotide small RNA is filed under the name Marmota monax (woodchuck). The record is from RNAcentral. Lineage: Eukaryota; Metazoa; Chordata; Mammalia; Rodentia; Sciuridae.